Molecule: transfer RNA, 73 nt
Filed under: Helianthus annuus (common sunflower)
Lineage: Eukaryota; Viridiplantae; Streptophyta; Magnoliopsida; Asterales; Asteraceae
Description: tRNA-Ser
Source: RNAcentral
GCAGAUGUAGCCAAGUGGAUCAAGGAAGUUGUUGCGAAUACACCAUGCACGUGUUCAAUUCCCGUCGUUUUCC